This 637-nucleotide ribosomal RNA is filed under the name Tomentella sp. YM3122. RNAcentral describes it as "eukaryotic LSU rRNA". The stretch from base 257 to 411 matches the Rfam family "5.8S ribosomal RNA". Lineage: Eukaryota; Fungi; Basidiomycota; Agaricomycetes; Thelephorales; Thelephoraceae. The record is from RNAcentral.
AGAGGAAGUAAAAGUCGUAACAAGGUUUCCGUAGGUGAACCUGCGGAAGGAUCAUUACCGAAUUGUCAAACGGGUUGUUGCUGGUCUUCAAACGGGGACACGUGCACGCUCUGUUUACACAUCCACUCACACCUGUGCACCCUCCGUAGUUCUAUGGUCUGGGGGACCCUGUCUUCCUGCCGUGGUUCUACGUCUUUACACACACUCUGUAAUAAAGUCUUAUGGAAUGUAUGCCGCGUCUAACGCAAUACAAUACAACUUUCAGCAACGGAUCUCUUGGCUCUCGCAUCGAUGAAGAACGCAGCGAAAUGCGAUAAGUAAUGUGAAUUGCAGAAUUCAGUGAAUCAUCGAAUCUUUGAACGCACCUUGCGCCCCUUGGCUAUUCCGAGGGGCAUGCCUGUUUGAGUAUCAUGAACACCUCAACUCUCAUGGUUCGCCAUGAUGAGCUUGGACUCUGGGGGUUUUGCUGGCCUGCGGUCGGCUCCCCUCAAAUGAAUCAGCCUCCCAGUGUUUGGUGGCAUCGCGGGUGUGAUAAAUAUCUACGCUCGCGGUUGUCUGCCAGGUAACCUUUGGUGACAAAGGUUUGCUGGAGCUCACAGAUGUCUCUCCUCGGCGAGGACAGCUUUUUGAACGUUCG